GAUGAACGCUGGCGGCGUGCUUAACACAUGCAAGUCGAACGAAGCAAUCAAGAGGAAAUUUUCGGAUGGAAUCUAGAUUGACUGAGUGGCGGACGGGUGAGUAACGCGUGGGUAACCUGCCUCAUACAGGGGGAUAACAGUUAGAAAUGACUGCUAAUACCGCAUAAGACCACAGUGCCGCAUGGCACAGGGGCCAAAGCCCAGACGGUAUGAGAUGGACCCGCGUCUGAUUAGGUAGUUGGUGAGGUAACGGCUCACCAAGCCGACGAUCAGUAGCCGACCUGAGAGGGUGACCGGCCACAUUGGGACUGAGACACGGCCCAA
RNAcentral lists this ribosomal RNA (324 nucleotides) under uncultured bacterium. Its description in RNAcentral is "bacterial SSU rRNA". It matches the Rfam family "Bacterial small subunit ribosomal RNA", at positions 28 to 334 of the family's 1533-position model. The record is from RNAcentral.